This 21-nucleotide non-coding RNA is filed under the name Caenorhabditis elegans. Lineage: Eukaryota; Metazoa; Nematoda; Chromadorea; Rhabditida; Rhabditidae. The record is from RNAcentral.
UGCGCGCCUUUUACAAGUUCA